Molecule: ribosomal RNA, 1346 nt
Filed under: uncultured bacterium
Lineage: Bacteria
Description: partial 16S ribosomal RNA
Rfam family: Bacterial small subunit ribosomal RNA
Source: RNAcentral
GACGAACGCUGGCGGCGUGCUUAACACAUGCAAGUCGAACGGAAAGGCCCUGCUUUUGUGGGGUGCUCGAGUGGCGAACGGGUGAGUAACACGUGAGUAACCUGCCCUUGACUUUGGGAUAACUUCAGGAAACUGGGGCUAAUACCGGAUAGGAGCUCCUGCCGCAUGGUGGGGGUUGGAGAGUUUCGGCGGUUGGGGAUGGACUCGCGGCUUAUCAGCUUGUUGGUGGGGUAGUGGCUUACCAAGGCUUUGACGGGUAGCCGGCCUGAGAGGGUGACCGGCCACAUUGGGACUGAGAUACGGCCCAGACUCCUACGGGAGGCAGCAGUGGGGAAUAUUGCACAAUGGGCGGAAGCCUGAUGCAGCAACGCCGCGUGCGGGAUGACGGCCUUCGGGUUGUAAACCGCUUUCGCCUGUGACGAAGCGUGAGUGACGGUAAUGGGUAAAGAAGCACCGGCUAACUACGUGCCAGCAGCCGCGGUGAUACGUAGGGUGCGAGCGUUGUCCGGAUUUAUUGGGCGUAAAGGGCUCGUAGGUGGUUGAUCGCGUCGGAAGUGUAAUCUUGGGGCUUAACCCUGAGCGUGCUUUCGAUACGGGUUGACUUGAGGAAGGUAGGGGAGAAUGGAAUUCCUGGUGGAGCGGUGGAAUGCGCAGAUAUCGGGAGGAACACCAGUGGCGAAGGCGGUUCUCUGGGCCUUUCCUGACGCUGAGGAGCGAAAGCGUGGGGAGCGAACAGGCUUAGAUACCCUGGUAGUCCACGCUGUAAACGGUGGGUACUAGGUGUGGGGUCCAUUCCACGGGUUCCGUGCCGUAGCUAACGCUUUAAGUACCCCGCCUGGGGAGUACGGCCGCAAGGCUAAAACUCAAAGGAAUUGACGGGGCCCCGCACAAGCGGCGGAGCAUGCGGAUUAAUUCGAUGCAACGCGUAGAACCUUACCUGGGUUUGACAUGGAUCGGGAGUGCUCAGAGAUGGGUGUGCCUCUUUUGGGGUCGGUUCACAGGUGGUGCAUGGCUGUCGUCAGCUCGUGUCGUGAGAUGUUGGGUUAAGUCCCGCAACGAGCGCAACCCUUGUUCACUGUUGCCAGCACGUUAUGGUGGGGACUCAGUGGAGACCGCCGGGGUCAGCUCGGAGGAAGGUGGGGAUGACGUCAAGUCAUCAUGCCCCUUAUGUCCAGGGCUUCACGCAUGCUACAAUGGCUGGUACAGAGAGUGGCGAGCCUGUGAGGGUGAGCGAAUCUCGGAAAGCCGGUCUCAGUUCGGAUUGGGGUCUGCAACUCGACCUCAUGAAGUCGGAGUCGCUAGUAAUCGCAGAUCAGCAACGCUGCGGUGAAUACGUUCCCGGGGCU